Molecule: non-coding RNA, 71 nt
Organism: Potamilus streckersoni
Lineage: Eukaryota; Metazoa; Mollusca; Bivalvia; Unionida; Unionidae
Source: the annotation of a GenBank genome assembly
GUGGCCUAGUGGUUUGAGCAUCUGCUUUGGAUGCAGGAGAUUGUGGGUUCAAUCCGUACAGAGUUAUAACA